This 606-nucleotide ribosomal RNA is filed under the name Stenotrophomonas sp. EE12. Its description in RNAcentral is "bacterial SSU rRNA". It matches the Rfam family "Bacterial small subunit ribosomal RNA", at positions 66 to 660 of the family's 1533-position model. The record is from RNAcentral. Lineage: Bacteria; Pseudomonadati; Pseudomonadota; Gammaproteobacteria; Lysobacterales; Lysobacteraceae.
ACGGCAGCACAGGAGAGCUUGCUCUCUCGGGUGGCGAGUGGCGGACGGGUGAGGAAUACAUCGGAAUCUACUUUUUCGUGGGGGAUAACGUAGGGAAACUUACGCUAAUACCGCAUACGACCUACGGGUGAAAGCAGGGGACCUUCGGGCCUUGCGCGAUUGAAUGAGCCGAUGUCGGAUUAGCUAGUUGGCGGGGUAAAGGCCCACCAAGGCGACGAUCCGUAGCUGGUCUGAGAGGAUGAUCAGCCACACUGGAACUGAGACACGGUCCAGACUCCUACGGGAGGCAGCAGUGGGGAAUAUUGGACAAUGGGCGCAAGCCUGAUCCAGCCAUACCGCGUGGGUGAAGAAGGCCUUCGGGUUGUAAAGCCCUUUUGUUGGGAAAGAAAUCCAGCCGGCUAAUACCUGGUUGGGAUGACGGUACCCAAAGAAUAAGCACCGGCUAACUUCGUGCCAGCAGCCGCGGUAAUACGAAGGGUGCAAGCGUUACUCGGAAUUACUGGGCGUUAAGCGUGCGUAGGUGGUUGUUUAAGUCUGUUGUGAAAGCCCUGGGCUCCACCUGGGAACUGCAGUGGAAACUGGACCACUAGAGUGUGGUAGAGGGUA